CAAACUGCAGCUCGUUCUACAAAGGAGCUGUGUUUGGGGCGGGCCUCCUCUUUAGCACAAUCCAAGAUGGCCGCUGCAGAGGACACACCCGCAAGAGACAUGAAGUAACAUGAUAAUUAUCACAUUUCUGGACCGUCGGGUCAAAACUUUUAGCUCUCGGUAAAAUAGAGGCUAAAGCAGCUCAAGGUUGUUAAGCUACUGGAUUCAUAAAAUGCAGGAGAAGACCCCCUACGUGUUCGUGGAGGUGGGCAGCGGCUCCGGAGCGGUUCGUGGUUUUCUGUGGUCGGACCUUCAGCUCUACCUAUUGUUUGUCUGAUGAUGUUUACUGUCAGGUUGGAUGAUCAGCUCAGCCUGCUGUAACCGGGUCGCCCCGUCAUCACAGAUCUGCUAACAAGAAAUUUGAGAGGCUUUGUGGAUGUCAUCACUCCAUCAGAAGAGUCAUCUGCAUCAAUGUUGAGGUGACUGAAAGUUUCUUCUCUGCGGUUGCUGCUCUCCAGAAGAGGCCACUUUGUCAAGAACAAGGCAGGAGAUCAUGGGCUGGAAGAAGAGACUGUUUCCAUAGAAACCAGCAGAGGUGAAAGACAGAUUCACUUCUCUCUCCAGCCAGUGCAGCUUCCUGAUGGCAUCACCUCUUCAUGUUGUUUCAUUAAAGACAAAUCAAAGUG
Gambusia affinis (western mosquitofish) is the source of this 665-nucleotide long non-coding RNA. RefSeq lists it as uncharacterized. NCBI's taxonomy places the organism in Eukaryota, Metazoa, Chordata, Actinopteri, Cyprinodontiformes, Poeciliidae. The transcript has 8 exons. The record is from RefSeq and is a predicted model, not a curated record.